AGAAUCAACGCUGGCGGCGUGCCUAACACAUGCAAGUCGAACGAGAAAGUGGAGCAAUCCAUGAGUAAAGUGGCGACCGGGUGAGUAACACGUGACUAACCUACCUUCGAGUGGGGGAUAACCUCGGGAAACCGGGCUAAUACCGCAUAACAUCUUUGAAGUGGAAAUUUCGGAGAUCAAAGGAGCAAUUCGCUGGAAGAGGGGGUCGCGGCUGAUUAGCUAGUUGGCGGGGUAACGCCCACCAAGGCUUAGAUCGGUA
RNAcentral lists this ribosomal RNA (259 nucleotides) under uncultured bacterium. RNAcentral describes it as "partial small subunit ribosomal RNA". It matches the Rfam family "Bacterial small subunit ribosomal RNA", at positions 26 to 285 of the family's 1533-position model. The record is from RNAcentral.